Molecule: non-coding RNA, 328 nt
Filed under: Eucalyptus grandis
Lineage: Eukaryota; Viridiplantae; Streptophyta; Magnoliopsida; Myrtales; Myrtaceae
Description: Bacterial small subunit ribosomal RNA
Rfam family: Bacterial small subunit ribosomal RNA
Source: Rfam by way of RNAcentral
GAAAUGAUUGGGUGUAAAGUGUCUAUAGGUGGCUUUUUAAGUCCGCCAUCAAAUCGCAAGGCUCAACCCUGGACAGGUAGUGGAAAAUACCAAGUUGGAGUAUAGUAGGGGUAGAGAGAAUUUCCGGUGGAGUGGUGAAAUGCGUAGAGAUAAGAAAAAACAACAUCGGCAAAAGCACUUUGUUGAGCCAACAUUGACACUGAGAGGCAAAAGUUAGGGAAGCCAAUGGGAUUAGAUACCCUAGUAGUCCUAACUGUAAAUGAUGGAUACUAAGUGCUGUGCAUAUCAAUCCGUGCAGUGUUGUAGCUAACACAUGAAGUAUCCUGUA